RNAcentral lists this ribosomal RNA (253 nucleotides) under uncultured bacterium. RNAcentral describes it as "partial 16S ribosomal RNA". It matches the Rfam family "Bacterial small subunit ribosomal RNA", at positions 524 to 776 of the family's 1533-position model. The record is from RNAcentral.
UACAGAGGGUGCGAGCGUUAAUCGGAAUUACUGGGCGUAAAGCGUGCGUAGACGGUUAUUUAAGUCGGAUGUGAAAGCCCCGGGCUCAACCUGGGAAUUGCAUUCGAGACUGAAUAGCUAGGGUGCGGUAGAGGGAAGCGGAAUUUCCGGUGUAGCGGUGAAAUGCGCAGAUAUCGGAAGGAACAUCAGUGGCGAAAGCGGCUUCCUGGACCAGCACCGACGUUCAGGCACGAAAGCGUGGGGAGCAAACAGG